UACGUAGGUGGCAAGCGUUGUCCGGAUUUACUGGGCGUAAAGGAUGCGUAGGCGGACAUUUAAGUCAGAUGUGAAAUACCCGAGCUUAACUUGGGUGCUGCAUUUGAAACUGGGUGUCUAGAGUGCAGGAGAGGUAAGUGGAAUUUACGGUGUAGCAGUGAAAUGCGUAGAUAUCGUAAGGAAGACCAGUGGCGAAGGCGGAUCUCUGGACAGUUACUGACACUGAGGCACGAAGGCCAGGGGAGCAAACGGG
This 253-nucleotide ribosomal RNA is filed under the name uncultured bacterium. RNAcentral describes it as "partial 16S ribosomal RNA". It matches the Rfam family "Bacterial small subunit ribosomal RNA", at positions 524 to 776 of the family's 1533-position model. The record is from RNAcentral.